Helianthus annuus (common sunflower) is the source of this 710-nucleotide long non-coding RNA. RefSeq lists it as uncharacterized. NCBI's taxonomy places the organism in Eukaryota, Viridiplantae, Streptophyta, Magnoliopsida, Asterales, Asteraceae. The transcript is spliced from 2 exons. The record is from RefSeq and is a predicted model, not a curated record.
UGAUAUGCGUACGAACCCGCACUACCUAUCGUCCUCUUCCCAAAGGCCAAAACACCUCUUCCAUACAAAAACCCCCAGGAGGGUUUAGGUUUCUCUCUGUUUUCGCUCCGAUUCUCUUCAACAACCAUAUGAUCUAGAGCAUUGAGGCUGUGUCUGGAUUUGAAUUAGGUGACGAGUGAUCAUAGAAGUGGGUUCAGGUACGGAUUUGUCUGUAAACAAGAUGGAUUCAUCCGAUUCAGGGUCGGUUGUGGCAGAUACUUCUGAAGCUGACUAUUCGAGUAAAGAGAGCAUUUGUGAUAACUUCACUCUGAAAGCGAAUGUGACUUUCAAGAAGUCUACGAAACGGUUCACAUUUUCUCGUUUUGAUAAACUUUCAACAUUGGAAGGCAAAGUUGCUAAAAGUUUUAAGUUAGAUGGUCAAGGGUUUCAUCUAAAGUACAUUGAUGAAGACAACGAAUUGAUAUGCAUUUGUUUUGAUGUCGACUUGAAGCUGGCUCUAGAUACUUUAGGCAGUAACAGUAUUAACUUAAUAUAUGAGAAGGCUUUUUGAUGGUUUAUAUUAGAGUGUAUACAGUCAGUCGGCAGUUAGUUAGGCUACUACAGUUGGUUUGCAAUGUCCUGUUGUAGCAGUUUAGAGGCUCCUAUUCAUUAUAUAAAGGAGGCCCAUUAAUUGUAUCUUCUCAUUCAAUCUAUUGAGGUCAUUUUCUUAA